Neoarius graeffei (lesser salmon catfish) is the source of this 3345-nucleotide RNA transcript. RefSeq lists it as uncharacterized. The transcript has 11 exons. NCBI's taxonomy places the organism in Eukaryota, Metazoa, Chordata, Actinopteri, Siluriformes, Ariidae. The record is from RefSeq and is a predicted model, not a curated record.
UCUCUUUCAGCUGAGACGCUGCUGUGAUGCUGUUGGGAGAGAUGAUUCAAAUUAAAACAAAACUCCAACUCCAGGCAGAAGCGGUGAGAUUAAUGAAGCCCAGCAUGGAGUGCUGAGUAAAAAGUGUGUAAAUUCAUCCACCCGGAUGUCCAGACCCUGCUGAAACAUUAUCGCCUGAGACACGCAGGGGGUCAUCAAGGUGACGGCGAUAGCAGAACAUAGGAGGAGAGUGGCCUUGGAAGGAUUGCCCAUUUACCUCAAGGAGGAUGCAUCAAAUCUUUUCAAGACAUGUCUGGACACAGAUGAAGAGGAGGAUUACACCAAAGGUGUAAAAAUUGCCAUACUGACAGUCUUCGAGGAUGAUGUAGCAUCUGUUACGUCCCUACCUACGGUCAUCAACAUUGGCGUGCUUUUGGAAGAGAGUGUCAUCGUUCAGGGCAUAAAGGACCUUCCUUCAGCAGUCGCAUACUUGUUUGGCCUGCUGUAUUUCAUCAACAUGGAAUACCCCAAAAACCUGAGAUACACUUUUGAGGUUUUACAGAAAGUUUUCCUUGACAUGGGAGCACACUGCUGCUCUGCACGAGCUCAAUCACUCCGAAGUAAAAUGCAGAAAUGUCUGCGCUAAUGUGGCAAGUCCAUUUUUCUCUCUCUCUCGGAGCUGCAAGUCAGUUGAGUUUACUCCAAAAAACCCUUGAAAACCGCAGCUACAAUCAAUAAGGCUCCUGCUCCUCACUAUAUGGAAAACAUGGUGGAAACUGCUCAAGAGGGCCCGAUCACCAUGAUGGAGGAGUCCAACAAAAGGUCAGAUGACAAAGCUUGUGCCAUCAUGGGCCGACUGCUUGACAAGGACCUUCAGAGUUGAAAACAGAUUUCUAGGCAUUCCAGUGUGCAAAAAACCGCAUGCUCCAAACUUGUUCACAACUCUACAAGACGCACUACAGUAAAUGUUUUUCCCAUAAUAUAAUAAUUAUUAACAGACAUCACAAUAUACCCUGGUCAAGCGUCAAAGGAUUUUCAUCUGACAAUGCAAGUGUCAUGGUGGGCAAGAACAAUUCUGUACUCUCCCAUGUAAGACAAGCAACAGGCUCCCAAGUACCUGACCUCGGCUGUGUUUCCCAUAUUGAAAACCUCUGUGCCAACAGUCUCAUAAAAAGUCACUCCACCUACCAGUAGAAGAUCUGCUCAUUGAUACCUACUAGUCAAGUGAAGUUUAUUUGUAUCGCGCUUUUAACAAUAAACAUUGUCGCUAAGCAGCUUUAUAGAAUUUGAACGACUUAAAACAUGAGCUAAUUUUUCCCCUAAUCUAUCCCCAAUGAGCACGCCUGUGGCGACGGUGGCAAGGAAAAACUCCCUCAGACGACAUGAGGAAGAAACCUUGAGAGGAACCAGACUCCAAAGAGAACCCAUCCUCAUUUGGGCAACAACAGACAGUAUGACUAUAACAUUAACAGUCCUAACAUAAAGUCAGCUUUGUUGAUGCUAUAAACCCCAACCGACGGAAACCCGAGCGCAAAACCGUUCACGACAACCGCAGCCCUAAAGUUCAGCAAGUCAACUGCAGACCUACUAUUAUUUUCAUGGAAGUUCCAGAAGAAGGGAGGAAUAUAAAGAGUUCCAAAUAUUCACAGGAGUCGACAUGGAGGAGGUUCUUAAACAUGUGUCAAAGAUGGCUGUCGAUGGAAAGAUGUGUUGCUAGAACCCUCUCCCAGUGGCCAGCAUUACAAGCUUACUUUAACAGCAGUGAUGACAAGGAAAAGCCUGGUCAUGUCAAACGAUGUGCUGAUGCCUAUGUAAGUGAAGAGAUGAAGCUCAUGUAUUACUUUCUCCAGUAUGCUCUCACAAAGUUGAAUAAGUUCAAUAUUCUCUUUCAGUCUCAUGACUGUCGUGUACUUGAGCUAGAGAAGGAAACAGAGGGUCUUUUGAAGGCUUACGUUCUGAACUUCAUGAAAGUGGAUGCUGUGAAUAUUGAUGACCUAUCAAAAGUAGAUUAUAAGUGUGAAGAACAGCAGAAAUCUGAUGAUCUCACCAUUGGCAUACAAGCUUCCAGAUACUUGGAAUCCAUCAGUGAGGACUGUGAUCCUGCGAUUAUUACCUGUUUCUAUAGGAGUGUAAGAGCUGCAUAUGUUGCUGCUGUGGAAAAGUUUUUAAAUAAGUUUCCCUUUGGAAACCCAAUAUUGAAGUCAGUAAGAAUUCUAAAUCCAUUACACAGGACUGAUGUGACAGAAAGAGAAGCAGGGAAGGAACGCACGUCUGGCCCAUUGACAGCGAGGAAAAGAAGGCUGUCAGUGUGGAUACAUUCAUUCUGUUGCGCUCAUCAAUAAGGAUGUGAUUCAUGGCGCUAAAUCCAUGUUCACACUCUGGAUAUUGUUAUUAUCUACAAUGUAUCUAUUUGCUGGGGACGUUCGUGAACAUCAAAGCUGCCACUUCGGGUCAUUUUGAAAGUGCUGGGACAGCAGGUAGUGGAUGAACAUGUUCCAGAUGUUUCUCUCAUUGGGGAGAUGGGGGAUGCGACAGAACUGGGUCGGCUGGUGCAGUUGGUGCUGGGCUGCACAGUCAGCUGCGAGAAGAAGCAAAGUACCCUGGGAGACCAGACAGCUGUCCACCUUGCAGUCCAAAGCAAUCACGAGGAGCAAACGUUCACAGAAAUGUAUUUUCUCUGAUGAGUUGAAGGUUAUAUAACAGCAGCUCUGACAGUGAUGCAGCUGCAAAUCACAGUGCUUGUUCUAACACACUAUCGUUACUAUAGAAACGGCUUUGGUAAAAUAAGGGUGGGUGGAUGGACAGGUGAUAAAGACUCUGGACCCUCAGCAGAAGCCCAACUUUGUCGCUCCUGAGGUUCAGGCUCUGAAGAACCAGCUCUCAGAGAAAGACAGGAGAAUCCAGUGUCUGGACGUGAGGUACACCUGAGAUACGUCACACUGAGCGUUUGAGGAUUAUGGGUAAUCGGUUACUUCCUGUCACUAAUUGCUGGGAUAGAGGAUUUCUGAGACUGUACGGUUCGAUAUAUGACUUCCAAUUACAUUUCAAUUUCUAUCUGUAUUUAAAACACUUAACAGGUUGCUGUUACUGUUUGGAAAGGAUGAGUGGUGUGUUUUCUGUAUUUUCUUUGCUAUCUUUAAUUCGUAUUUUAUUUGUAGCUUCUAACAGUAUCACAUUGUCACAAAACAUCUUUACAAUAACGCAGAUUGUAGAUAAUGUUGAUUUGUCUAAAUUCUCUAGAAUUUUUAUGCUUGAAGGGGGGAAAAAACAUACUACACUAUUUAGUCAUUAUAUCAGAUACACCUGUCCAUAACCAGGUAGGCCAUAUUGCAGCUGUGCAAAAAAAUGUGAUGAUAAAAUGUGAAA